Molecule: ribosomal RNA, 232 nt
Filed under: uncultured Lactobacillaceae bacterium
Lineage: Bacteria; Bacillati; Bacillota; Bacilli; Lactobacillales; Lactobacillaceae
Description: partial 16S ribosomal RNA
Rfam family: Bacterial small subunit ribosomal RNA
Source: RNAcentral
AGUAACGCGUGGGUAACCUGCCCUUAAGUCUGGGAUACCAUUUGGAAACAGAUGCUAAUACCGGAUAAAAGCUACUUUCGCAUGAAAGAAGUUUAAAAGGCGGCGUAAGCUGUCGCUAAAGGAUGGACCUGCGAUGCAUUAGCUAGUUGGUAAGGUAACAGCUUACCAAGGCGAUGAUGCAUAGCCGAGUUGAGAGGGUGAUCGGCCACACUGGGACUGAGACACGGCCCAG